Molecule: long non-coding RNA, 2670 nt
Organism: Zeugodacus cucurbitae (melon fly)
Lineage: Eukaryota; Metazoa; Arthropoda; Insecta; Diptera; Tephritidae
Exons: 3
Source: RefSeq, a predicted model, not a curated record
CCAUUAAAACAAACAAUUGGCGUGAAAGCACAUCCUUUAGUCUACCACUCAGCUGCUACUGUUUGAGGCAACUUUUGUGUGUUCCUGAUCAACAGCUUGAAGGAAGUGACGCGAUUUCUGAUAUCCACGCACGCACAUAAAACACUUUGGUCAGCUGUUUUAUCGCCACACAGCUGAGUCAGGUAUCCACCUGUUUGUGCAGCUUUCUUACGUCAAGGUGAAUACGCUACAAAAAAGCUUGUAGGUGUAUGUGGUACAGAUAGGGGUAAAUCGCCUGCAGACAACACGCGCUGCUCCACAUCCUGUUUUGCAACGCUCCACUGCGAUUAAUAUCCUUUCGACACAGGCAGCCGGCUGCCACAAAUGUGUUUACGUACGCUUUAUGCUUUAGCCUUUGAUGUGGCAUAUGAUAACAGGUUGCUGAACACCGGGGCAAUGUGUAAAAUCAUUAACGUGCGCCUAAAUUACCAAAAGCUGAGGUUAAAGCACAAAAAAAAAAUGAAAAAAAACUGCGCACACCUGUGUCCAAGUGCCGACAACACCGGCGUUUAGUCAAUUUAGUGAGGUUAAUUCACGGUGUCAGCGAAAUGCCGCAAAGCGUAGCAAGAAAGAAACAAAUUAUUGAAAUGUGGUGUGAGUAUUAAUAAUUCAGGUACUUAAGGUGGUUCCGCCAACGAAGAGAGCUUUCAACAAGCUAUUCAAUGUGAUAGUGUGUGAAGGAUUGUUUACAGAAGUACUAAAUUGUUUGGAUUGUUUACUUAAAUGAGGGUCGAGGAAAACAGGUGAGCUCCCAAUGGCACGGGAUAAGUGAGAAGAAGAUUAUUUAACAAAAAAAAGAACGCAAAGUUAUGUUAAAGACAUUUAUGAAUAAUAGGUCGUUGGUACGUAGGUCGUACAUUCUUAUAUUGUUCACAUAAGUAUUCUUCACAUAAGAAUUCACUUCUAAACACACAGAAUAUGCUAACUAGAGCUUUGAGUAAAGAAAUUUAGCCAGAUCUUCGACACCUUCAAAGUUUUGAUCGCUUAUAAGACCUCACAACAGAUCUAGGUCAUAUCCCAGGUUAUUAAAAUUAAGAACCAUUACUAUUACUCUAAUUUUAUUGCAAAAUAUUCGUGGAUUCUAAAAUAACAAGUUGUUCUCAUAGAUCUUUGCAUAUCUAGAUCAAUGGGUUCGCUAGAUCUAGCUAGCCUUCAGGUAAAUCAAAUAGAGAUCUUCAGUCCGAACCAUUACCGAGGAAGCAAGUGGUUAGUUACCAGCUUUUUCGUCGGUUAACAUCAUUGAAAAAAAAUAUUAAAAUCAUUUAAAGCCUAAAAUACUUAUUUCAAUCUCCCAAAAUGAUAACAUAUACCGGAACGAAACCCUAACAACCAUAGGAAACAAAGUGAGUAUCUCAACAUUAAGAUUUCUUCAAGAAAAUCGGAUUCCUGGAGUAGAAUUUCUAUAGAUAUUUGUUUAAUACUUAGGGAAGCAUGUCAGAACUGAAUUUAGGUAGCUCUUUGAAAUGAAAAAUUUGCUCUGCUGGAACAAAGAAGCCAUGAAAACUACUAUAUUUUCAUUCCCAUAAUAGUCGGGUCUAAGUAACUGAAACGAACCCAGAUUUUUUGCAGGUUAAAGAUUGUCAAACCGGCGCAAUUUCUCAAAACGUAUUUUGCAAAUUUUUUCUGCCGCUAAAACAACAAAAAAAACUACAUAAAUUCAAAAAGAGUUCUUAAAUAAAUUAGGUAAAAAAUAUUUAUAUGACAGAAAUCUCGAUCUCUCAUAUACAUAAAUUUUCGACACCAAAAAUAUAAUUCUGUUUUGUUCAAAACCAAGUCCAAAGGAGUAUACAGUUUUGUUUUCAUUAUUUCAGCAAUAUAAACACACAUACAUACAUAUAUCUAAUUUUAUUAAUUACAACACUGGCAAGCAAGGACUGCCGAAGGUUUCAUAUGUACCCAUUCCGAACUGUGGACUUAGUGUAUAUACUAUAUACAUAUAUACAUAUGAUAAACAUAUAUGCCAUAUAAAAUACGCAGCAGGCUGCAGUAAUUUCAUCUUUCGUGCGAAUAUAUUUAUAUAUAAACAUAUAUACAAAUCCAUGUGUAUGUAUAUGUAUUAAUUAAUUCGUGCUUGUUAGUCGCUCAAUUAUGCAUGAGCUUCUUUCGGCCACAUUACCGACCACAAAAUAUUCAUUGGAAUUGUCACGCAUUAUCUCAACAUUUGCAAGCCUACACAAUUACAUUGUUAUUUACUUUGUGCAACAACAACAACAACAACAACAACAACAACAACAACAACAGCAAUGAAACAAGAACGCAUGCGAAAUAUGCUUAAUUAAAGACAGUACGAAGGCAGUUGCACAAAAUGUAAGGUGAGAAAUUUAAUUCAUGGCCAAUGUGCAUUGCAAUACUUUCCAUAAUAAGCACAAUAUAAUAAGACAUUAUUAUAAUGACAGACAGCAAAAAGAAAAAAAUAUUUGUUUAGACACACACAAAGGAUGCUAAUGCGACUAUAAUAACUUAGUAGGAGUUUAAAGAGUGGGUGAACAAAUAAUAUGCACAUUGAGCUGGAUAAGAAAGCAUGCCUACAUCCGCUAACUAUACGUCCGCCGCCAGCAGGACUUGGCGUUUUGUUGACUGGAGUGCAAGGUCAGGGCUGAUUGGCAAUUUAAAGGCAUUAUUAUAUGUAUA